Salvia splendens (bonfire salvia) is the source of this 497-nucleotide long non-coding RNA. RefSeq lists it as uncharacterized. The transcript has 2 exons. The record is from RefSeq and is a predicted model, not a curated record. Lineage: Eukaryota; Viridiplantae; Streptophyta; Magnoliopsida; Lamiales; Lamiaceae.
GCGCUCGCUCCCUCCGGCGAGUACUCCCCCCUUUCGGCGAAGUCGGCGGUGGAGAGGAGGCGUCGCCUCCCUCUCUCUUUCAGCCGCGACCCGUAGCUACCCCGCCGAGUUUCCGGGAUUCUGCCGUCGCCGGACUGGUACUUUGGCUGCGCAUUUGGAAUCUUGUGGGGCACAAAUUUGAGAAAGAUGGAGAGGAGGAGAGGGAGGAAAGAAGAUCUCUUACUGUAGCUCCCUUGACCAAAGCAACCUUAACUUUUAUCUAAGUUUUUGGCUCCCUUGACCAAAGCAACCUUAACUUUUAUCUAAGUUUUUGGCUGCUACAAUUCCAAUAGAGUAGGACUAGCUAUUACUUCAUUCCCCUCUUGAGAAGGGUUUCCCAUGCUUGAAAGGAACUUUUACUUGUAGCUCCAUGCAUCCAAAUGUAUAGUUUGUUUUGUACUUUACUACUCACAUGUAUGUUCCGUAUUUCUCUAGUAAGAGUAUUUCAUUUACUUUUA